Molecule: ribosomal RNA, 803 nt
Filed under: uncultured Pseudomonadota bacterium
Lineage: Bacteria; Pseudomonadati; Pseudomonadota
Description: bacterial SSU rRNA
Rfam family: Bacterial small subunit ribosomal RNA
Source: RNAcentral
AAACCCUGGCUUCGGUCAGGGGAGUAAAGUGGCGCACGGGUGAGUAACGCGUGAGUAACCUACCCCACUUGACUGGAAUAACGUCGGGAAACUGGCGCUAAUACCGGAUGAAAUCCCGGGUUGCAAGGCUACGGGAUCAAAGGAGGCCUCUCCAUGGAAGCUUCCACAAGGGGAUGGGCUCGCGUCCCAUUAGCUAGUUGGUAGGGUAAUGGCCUACCAAGGCGACGAUGGGUAGCCGGCCUGAGAGGGUGUCCGGCCACACUGGAACUGAAACACGGUCCAGACUCCUACGGGAGGCAGCAGUGAGGAAUUUUGCGCAAUGGGCGAAAGCCUGACGCAGCGACGCCGCGUGGGCGAUGAAGCUUCUUGGAGUGUAAAGCCCUGUCAGGUGGGACGAAUCCGGAGGGUGCAAAUAGUGCCUUUCGCUGACGGUACCACCAGAGGAAGCCCCGGCUAACUCCGUGCCAGCAGCCGCGGUAAUACGGAGGGGGCGAGCGUUGUUCGGAAUCACUGGGUGUAAAGGGUGCGUAGGCGGUGCGUUAAGUCUGAUGUGAAAGCCCUGGGCUCAACUCAGGAAUUGCAUUGGAAACUGGCGUGCUGGAGUACGGGAGAGGGAAGCGGAAUUCCUGGUGUAGCGGUGAAAUGCGUAGAUACCAGGAGGAACACCGGUGGCGAAGGCGGUUUCCUGGCCCAGUACUGACGCUGAGGCACGAAAGCGUGGGGAGCGAACGGGAUUAGAUACCCCGGUAGUCCACGCUGUAAACGAUGUGUGCUAGGUGUUGGAGGUAUCGACCCCUUCAGUG